This 1706-nucleotide long non-coding RNA is filed under the name Toxoplasma gondii VEG. Lineage: Eukaryota; Apicomplexa; Conoidasida; Eucoccidiorida; Sarcocystidae. The record is from RNAcentral.
GGUUAUUUUACAGCAUCGCAAGCCUGACUUUGAAGCUGACACAAAACGUUACCGCUUCACUUUUCCUUCGUAAGUUGCACAUCCCUGCGGCUAGGCUGAGGCCGCAAAACGAUCAGGAGCAGUUGUCGUAGGUACAACGACGCUUUGUGGACCCCCGAUAUUUGAGGUUCAACGAACAAUUUCAUCGGAAGGGCCGUAAGCGCCCGAGAGCCUCGUCGUAGAGGGUCCGUGCCGAGACGGAUGUGAGCAGCGUUCUUGAGGGUAAGAGAACGAAGCUGAGAAGACACGUGCCCUGUCCUUCUACGCCUUUUAACGCUGGAUUUACAGUUGUUUCUACUUUCGUAUGAUCCGCACACAAAAUUGAGCGAACUUGGAGGUUCUGUCAACUGCACCUACGUUUUGACGCGAAUUCACAACGAUCGAUUGUCUUGCCUGCUGCUUGUCGCCUGGUCGCCACUGAGAGGGAAUUGAUACGGCGCGCACGUUUUCUUCACGUGAAAAGGCGAUCCGCAAGUUUAACGUGACCUUUUCAAGAAAGACCGUAUCAAAGCUUGUCAUCGCUAAUUGGUCGAGUCAAUGAGAGCUCUUUUCUACGAUGUCGGGUCGGCGUGAAUCCCGAGGUUCCGAAGGCCCUUGGGGCCGAUCGCUACGCUGCUGUGCGUUUUCCCGCAUUAUGAGGCAGAUGGUAGUGUUUGUCGUCGCAGUCUUUCUCUGUCCGAGGCUGUCAUAUCUGCGUGAGCUCGCGGAUUCCGAUGUGGCUGCAUCGACAAGACUGGUGUGUCAUGCGUCCGCUCUCGGGCAGCAGGACGAUUUCAAUGCAGCUAUCGCUGAAAUAAUAAACAACGGAAUUGUUUUCACCCCCGCGAAAUUCGACUUUGAUGAGGCGUACGAGGCCGCUAAAACAGUGAGCCAGACGCCCGUUAUAUGGGAUGUCUACCAUGUGGAUGAGAAAUUGCUUGUGCAGAAACUGGAGGAGAGCAUGGAGAGAUUCAUACUCAAUGCCUAUCUCGCACUAAGACGGAAGGAACCAGACUUACGCGCCGUACCAAUCGUAGGCAAUGCGAGACUAAUGCAUUUCCUCCGAAGUCUACUGACUCGAAAUCGAGUUAAAACUACCAAGUCGGACAGCGAACUCAGCAAUAUCUUCCGAGAAAGACCGCGACUAUUCGAAUGGAUACCUGAUUUGCCUGUUCAGGUCUCGGAGACGCACGAUGAGCUCUAAAAAAGUUUUUGAACGGAGCCUUACGAACACACAUCGCCAGUAAACAAGGAUGGGCCUUAGAUAAACAACACCUGUCUACGAAUGGAGCAUCAGACGGAGGGACUGGGUGUUCUAGUGUCCUUCCGGUGUUGUUUUCUAAACACGAAAGCGGUUAUAUACAGUGGAGAGAUUGGAUAUUUGGUAUUUUUCCGGUUCCAUGCAAGUCCCGAGUUCACAGAAAAAGUGUUGACGUGUUCUGUCAGGGAACCAUCAUGCAGACGGUUCACAGCUAGGUGCCGCAAAUUACUGUCAUCAAUGCCGUUCAGCUGGACGGAAAAGUUUUAAAUGAUAGCCUUCAAGACUUGUCAACCUAUACGGCCGCGCGCUAGUCCUGCAACUGCGGUGACGAAUUCAGUCCGCAUCCAUCCUGACGUGUGCAGGGCGGACAAGCAUAUCCAACCGGGUGCUUCUGCUCAAUCAUUGCAGCCAUCGUAAAACUCAAGAG